GCUGACGAUGCUUACACAUGCAAGUCAACUUGAACUUCGGUUUGGGUGGCGGACGGGUGAGUAACGCGUAAAGAACUUGCCUCACAGCUAGGGACAACAUUUGGAAACGAAUGCUAAUACCUGAUAUUAUUAUUUUAUGGCAUCAUAGGAUAAUGAAAGCUAUAAGCGCUGCGAGAGAGCUUUGCGUCCCAUUAGCUAGUUGGAGAGGUAACGGCUCACCAAGGCGAUGAUGGGUAGCCGGCCUGAGAGGGUGAACGGCCACAAGGGGACUGAGACACGGCCCUUACUCCUACGGGAGGCAGCAGUGGGGAAUUUUGGACAAUGGGGGGAACCCUGAUCCAGCCAUGCCGCGUGUAUGAAGAAGGCCUUCGGGUUGUAAAGUACUUUUGUCAGGGAAGAAAAGCACGGUGUUAAUACCAUUGUGUGAUGACGGUACCUGAAGAAUAAACACCGGCUAACUACGUGCCAGCAGCCGCGGUAAU
Molecule: ribosomal RNA, 482 nt
Filed under: uncultured bacterium
Lineage: Bacteria
Description: bacterial SSU rRNA
Rfam family: Bacterial small subunit ribosomal RNA
Source: RNAcentral